RNAcentral lists this long non-coding RNA (546 nucleotides) under Pan troglodytes (chimpanzee). RNAcentral's name for it is "lincRNA". Lineage: Eukaryota; Metazoa; Chordata; Mammalia; Primates; Hominidae. The record is from RNAcentral.
UGUUCCAAUCUAUGACCUCCCUCUCCUGCUGGUACAAGGAUAUGUAUUCCUUAGAGCAAAGGAUGCAAUGUCAAGCAAGUUGUGAUACCUCAACUAUCUACAAUUUAACACCAAGGAAAGAACACUGUUUGGAGAAAUGAGAAAGAUUAUCAUCAGUGUCUUUCAGAAGUCAUCAAAGGAAGAAAAGGAGAAAAGAGAGGAGAAAGCAGAAAGAUCUGGAGUCUGGGAAGUUCAAGAGCAUGGCACCAACAUCUGGCAAGGGCUUUCAUGCUGCAUCAUCUCAUGGAGGAAAAUAAAAGGGAGGCUGGAUGCUCCUGUGAAGUACGUCUUCUAUCUACUUGCUAUCUUUGCAAUUCCUUCAUGCUACAAUGAGAGAUAGAGUUUAAACCUGAAAACAUUCUUGGAAAAGGAACCUUCAUUAAUUCAAAUAUACCACAAGGUUCUGCCACUGUGGCCAUCACCUGGGAUUGGAGAAAGGCAAAUGGAACAGACCAACUCAGAAUUACAGUCCUCGUUUAUUUCAUCAGAGGUUGGCCUGUACUUACA